Molecule: unclassified non-coding RNA, 209 nt
Filed under: soil metagenome
Description: partial contains 5.8S ribosomal RNA, internal transcribed spacer 2, and large subunit ribosomal RNA
Source: RNAcentral
AACCUAGCACACCUGCGGUGUGUACCUGCGGAGGGAUCAUUACCGAGUUUACAACUCCCAAACCCCUGUGAACAUACCAAUUGUUGCCUCGGCGGAUCAGCCCGCUCCCGGUAAAACGGGACGGCCCGCCAGAGGACCCCUAAACUCUGUUUCUAUAUGUAACUUCUGAGUAAAACCAUAAAUAAAUCAAAACUUUUAACAACGGAUCU